GAUAACAUCAUCUUCCUCCUUGGUCCAUACUAUCCAUUUGAGAAAGAAAAAGAGAAAGGAAAACACCAUAGUUGAAGACUAAAGAUUCAGCCAAGCUAAAAUCCCAAGGUAACCAAGCCCUUUUUCAUGUAAUUUUUAUAGAUUUAAGAUUAUGGGAGCUUGAUUUAGCUAGUCCAUGUAUCAAUUUAUUCAAUUGUUAAAGUUCUUAUAAGUUUCCAUUUGUGAGAAUCGGAUGAAAUAGGUGUGAAAUUGAUAUAAAUUAAGCUUAGUUUAUGGAAAGGAUUAAAUUGUAAAGCUUAAUUGUUUGUUUCGUACAUUAGGGCUAAAUUGAAUAAAAUGAAAAACUAUUAUGAAAUUUUGAUAGAAAUAGAAAGUAAAAGCUCUAGAUUGAAAGUUAUGUUUGUCUCGAGUUUAGGGACUAAUUUGAAUAAAUUAAAAAAUAUGUUUAACUUUGUAUUGGAAUGUGAUUUGGAUGGAAUUUGAUAUUGUGUUAUUUUUGAAUAAUUAUAAAUAGCUAAGACAAUGUUGGUCCGUCGAGAGGGAAAGGAAAAGCAAGAGUCGAUGACGAGUGGCACGAGCUUUCAGUUUGUAUUUCUAUAAUUUAGGAUCAAUUUGAAUUGUUGCAUAUUUGUGAUAUUUUGCACAAUAUAAUAUUGAGGUGAGUUGAUAAUGAUUAUUUGAAUGAAAUUUCCAUGUUUGAGAUUGAAUAUCGAGGUAGUGGACUAAUUAAAUAAAAUAGAUAAUUGUAUGAAUUAAUGCAUAUAUAAUAUUUGGUGUGGAAUUAAGUUGAAAUAUGCUAUGUUAUAUGAUGAAUUGAUGAUGAAUUGAGAAUAAUGUAAUGUGAAUUAAAUUAUAUGUUGAAAUUGGAAAAUUGAUUACCCUAUUAACUAUUCAGUUAGAGUCGGAUAUAGUUGGCAUAUAAUGGGAUAGAUUUAAUAUGAGUUACUUCAACUAUAUGUCGAUGAGUGUUCGACGCAUUUUCCUUCAGAUGUUCUGAUGAUUACUGGGCACAACCUUUACUUUGGUUAUGUCGAUAAGCGUUGUAUGCAAUCUAUUUACUUCAGACAUUUGUGUUGGUUGGGAUCUGUGUAUACGUUGGAGUCCGAGUCAUGUUAAUGGGGGAUAUAAAUUGUGAAUUGGUUAAAUGAUACUCGAAAUGAUUCCAUGUUAUGAAAUUGUACUACAAGUACAUAUAUACAAUAUAUGAUUAUAAAUAGCAUGUGAAAGACCAUGCAAACUGGUUAAAUGAGCCUGAGGCUGAUUUGGAAAGUUAGCAAAUGAAUUGAUUUGAUUCAGAAUAUGUUAUAUUGUAAGGAAAUAUAAACACUAAUGACAUUGGUAUGAUAUGUCCAUAUAGUUUCUUAAUUAACGUAAUGUAUCCAUUUGACAUAGUUGGUACACUUUAUGGCAUAUAUAUGUUGAUAUGUGGUUGAGGAUUAGCAUGAAUUGUAUAUGAAUUUAUUGAUAUUAGAAUUUUUGAUUGAAUGUGUGCAAUUGAUUAAAUUCGUAUUAUAUUGACUUGAAUCAUGGAAAUAACACUGAGAAUUAUCACUCAGUGUAUGUUUGUUUUUCCUUACGCAUGUUUAGGUUCAUCUCGAGGUCUCAAGAAGUGAUUUUAACAUCUAAGAGGCAAUCCCUAACUCAACAAUGUUUGUAUAGUCUCUUUUUAUUCGUUAUAUAGCAUGUACCUAGGUCGAGUCGAUUUUUGCAUAUUAUAUGAUUAUGUCAUAUUGUAACUUAGAUUAGUGAAUUAGAAAAGGCUAUUAUAUGAUUAUGUCUUAUUGUAACUUAGAUUAGUGAAUUAGAAAAGGUCAAAUGGUUGGAUUGUGUGGAUGAAUUUGACAAUUAAAUACUUUAUAUGAUAAUAUGAACUAUUGUGAUCAUACUCAAAUGUAUAUGUCCAUUUGAUAAUUUUUUGAAGUUGCAUAAGUGUCAAACAUGGUAUGUAUAAAUAUGAAUUACAAAUGAAUAUGUGAAUGAUGAAAUAUGUUAGAAAUGUAUAUUAGAUGUAAUAGCCCAAAUUUGACCGGGCUUUAAAAGGGCAAAAUAAAAUAAUAAAUGAAUAAAUAUUUAUUUUAAAAGUCCAUUAAAAAAGUCUGUGUACAAAGCCCAAAAACACUUAACCCCAUAGUCUGUGUACAAAGCCCGAACAGUUGCG
RNAcentral lists this long non-coding RNA (2158 nucleotides) under Gossypium barbadense (sea-island cotton). Its description in RNAcentral is "long non-coding RNA (GBAR_LNC003205)". The record is from RNAcentral. Lineage: Eukaryota; Viridiplantae; Streptophyta; Magnoliopsida; Malvales; Malvaceae.